GACGAACGCUGGCGGCGUGCUUAACACAUGCAAGUCGAACGGAAAGGCCCUGCUUUUGUGGGGUGCUCGAGUGGCGAACGGGUGAGUAACACGUGAGUAACCUGCCCUUGACUUUGGGAUAACUUCAGGAAACUGGGGCUAAUACCGGAUAGGAGCUCCUGCUGCAUGGUGGGGGUUGGAAAGUUUCGGCGGUUGGGGAUGGACUCGCGGCUUAUCAGCUUGUUGGUGGGGUAGUGGCUUACCAAGGCUUUGACGGGUAGCCGGCCUGAGAGGGUGACCGGCCACAUGGGGGGUGGGAGACGGCCCAGACUCUUCCGGGGGGGGGAGGUGGGGAAAAUGGCACAAGGGGGGGGAGCGUGUGGCGGCAACGCGCCGUGCGGAGGGAGGGCCUCCGGGUGUAAAACCGCUUUCGCCGGGGACAAGGGGGAAGGGAGGGAAAUGGGGAAAAAAGACCCGCUAAAUUAGGG
This 467-nucleotide ribosomal RNA is filed under the name uncultured bacterium. RNAcentral's name for it is "partial 16S ribosomal RNA". It matches the Rfam family "Bacterial small subunit ribosomal RNA", at positions 28 to 507 of the family's 1533-position model. The record is from RNAcentral.